UACAGAGGGUGCGAGCGUUGUCCGGAAUCACUGGGCGUAAAGGGCGCGUAGGUGGCGCAACAAGUCAGUGGUGAAAGCUCGACGCUCAACGUCGAGUCGGCCACUGAGACUGUUGGGCUUGAGCACUGUAGAGGCUAAUGGAAUUCCGGGUGUAGCGGUGGAAUGCGUAGAGAUCCGGAAGAACACCGGUGGCGAAGGCGGUUAGCUGGGCAGUUGCUGACACUGAGGCGCGAGAGCGUGGGGAGCAAACAGG
This 253-nucleotide ribosomal RNA is filed under the name uncultured bacterium. RNAcentral describes it as "partial 16S ribosomal RNA". It matches the Rfam family "Bacterial small subunit ribosomal RNA", at positions 524 to 776 of the family's 1533-position model. The record is from RNAcentral.